GACGAACGCUGGCGGCGUGCUUAACACAUGCAAGUCGAACGAAGUGGCGAACGGGUGAGUAACGCGUAAUCCACCUGCCCUUCAGAGGGGUCUAACAGUUGGAAACGACUGCUCAUACCGCAUACUGAAGGUGGGGAUUGAGUCUGAUUAGCUAGUUGGAGGGGGAACGGCCCACCAAGGCGAUGAUCAGGAGCCGGUCUGGGAGGGUGAACGGCCACAUUGGGACUGAGACACGGCCCAGACUCCUACGGGAGGAAGCAGUGGGGAAUCUUCCGCAAUGGACGAAAGGCUGACGGAGCAACGCCGCGUGAGUGAUGACGGCCUUCGGGUUGUAAAGCUCUGUUAAUCGGGACGCGGUACCGGAAGAGAAAGCCACGGCUAACUACGUGCCAGCAGCCGCGGUAAUUC
This 408-nucleotide ribosomal RNA is filed under the name uncultured bacterium. RNAcentral describes it as "partial 16S ribosomal RNA". It matches the Rfam family "Bacterial small subunit ribosomal RNA", at positions 28 to 526 of the family's 1533-position model. The record is from RNAcentral.